CCUACGGGAGGCAGCAGUGAGGAAUAUUGCCCAAUGGACGAAAGUCUGAGGCAGCAACGCCGCGUGAGCGAUGAAGGCCUUCGGGUUGUAAAGCUCUUUUCUGGGGGACGAGGAAGGACGGUACCUCAGGAAUAAGUCACGGCUAACUACGUGCCAGCAGCCGCGGUAAUACGUAGGUGGCGAGCGUUAUCCGGAUUUACUGGGCGUAAAGCGCGUGUAGGCGGUUUCGUAAGUCGGAUGUGAAAGCUCCUGGCUCAACUGGGAGAGGCCAUUCGAUACUGCGGGACUUGAGGUCGGGAGAGGGACGUGGAAUUCCCGGUGUAGUGGUGGAAUGCGUAGAUAUCGGGAGGAACACCAGUGGCGAAGGCGGCGUCCUGGCCCGCACCUGACGCUAAGACGCGAAAGCGUGGGUAGCGAACGGGAUUAGAUACCCCGGUAGUCCACGCCGUAAACGGUGGAUACUAGGUGUUGGUGACUAUCGUCAUCAGUGCCGUAGCUAACGCGUUAAGUAUCCCGCCUGGGGACUACGGCCGCAAGGCUAAAACUCAAAGGAAUUGACGG
Molecule: ribosomal RNA, 561 nt
Filed under: uncultured Chloroflexota bacterium
Lineage: Bacteria; Bacillati; Chloroflexota
Description: bacterial SSU rRNA
Rfam family: Bacterial small subunit ribosomal RNA
Source: RNAcentral